This 253-nucleotide ribosomal RNA is filed under the name uncultured bacterium. RNAcentral's name for it is "partial 16S ribosomal RNA". It matches the Rfam family "Bacterial small subunit ribosomal RNA", at positions 524 to 776 of the family's 1533-position model. The record is from RNAcentral.
UACGCAAGGGGCUAGCGUUGGUCGGAAUUACGGGGCGUAAAGCGCACGAAGGCGGCCUUGUAAGUUGGGGGUGAAAUCCCGGGGCUCAACUCCGGAACUGCCUUCAAGACUGCAAAGCUAGAGGACGCGCGAGGUUAGCGGAAUUCCGAGUGUAGAGGUGAAAUUCGUAGAUAUUCGGAAGAACACCAGUGGCGAAGGCGGCUAACUGGCGCGUUUCUGACGCUGAGGUGCGAAAGCGUGGGGAGCAAACAGG